UACCUGGUUGAUCCUGCCAGUAGUCAUAUGCUUGUCUCAAA
RNAcentral lists this ribosomal RNA (41 nucleotides) under Ferula feruloides. Its description in RNAcentral is "partial 18S ribosomal RNA". Lineage: Eukaryota; Viridiplantae; Streptophyta; Magnoliopsida; Apiales; Apiaceae. The record is from RNAcentral. RNAcentral also lists the same sequence under 21 other names.